UUGCUUUGUGCUGCUUCCUUGCCCUUGCGCCUAUUUUUUUAGUGAUCCAUCAAUAUAACUUUUUAUAUGUGACUCCAUUUUCUUCAUGUUCCUUUUUAACCUUGAAAGUCUUAAAUAUUUUUCAGAUGUUGAUUCAUGUUUUGUGGCCUUUUCAUUUCUUUGUAGGUACUCCAGAUUCAGUUGACCCUUUUUUGUGGUUAUGGAGCUGGUAGUAAUAUAUAUAUAUAUAUAUAUAUAUAUAUAUAUAUUUGUCUAUUUUAGCUUCGUUCUUGGUACAACUGCUAAGAGGCAUGUAAUAUCUGUUGUAAAAAUAGUGCAUAGUCUCAUUUUAGAAAGACUUAAACUUGCUCGACAUCACCAACAGCUAGAAAAAGAAAUUACUUCAUAUGGAAAAGAACAUAGGUAGCCUUUCAAUUUACUCUUUUCUCUGUUGAAGUUGGUUUCCUUCGAGGAAAGUCUGAGUAGGGUACAAAAGCAUAUUGUAGUGGAGGGAUGCUGAUGCUGGAUUCUUAUUGUGCAACUACUUUGGCGCUAUUCCUCUAAUGUACAAUCUAGAAGCACCAGUCGUCUUCUUUCUUUCCACCUCCUUCUUUGCUUCCAUCUUAUUUUUGCUCUGCUCUUUCUGUCUUCUUUUCUCACUUGUAAGACAAAGCAGUGUGCAAUAUAUCAAGGACAUCAGUUAGAAUCAGGUUAUAAGCUAAAGAAGAUCACAGAGGAAUCAGUUUCACAUUGGAAGCAUGGAGUUUGAAGGUCCACUAUGUCACAAGCGGAAAAAGCUUUACUCUUUUCAUCCCAAGUUCUCAUCGAAUGGUAGGAAGUUGCGUUGAAAUGAAACAGUCUUUCGCCAACUCUAGAAGAUAUAUUCAGUUUAUACACUCUCAAGUUGCACUCAAAACUGAAGUUAAUACAUAAAAUAUCUUUUAUUGUGUUGUGAUAAUUCAAUUUAUUCUCAAAGGGUAUUCAAAAUUCCUGUAGCACGGGCAUGCAAUACUAGUCUAGUUCUAUAUGCUAGAUCCGUGUGUAUGCACAUGUACGUGCAUACAAAUAAUUCAGAAUUUUAAUUUGAUACAUACAAAUACAAUUGUAGGUAUUAUUUCAUUUUAACAAUAGUUUCAACCUUAAUACAAUUAUAAAAUUUUACACCA
Long non-coding RNA from Nicotiana tabacum (common tobacco), 1145 nucleotides. RefSeq lists it as uncharacterized. NCBI's taxonomy places the organism in Eukaryota, Viridiplantae, Streptophyta, Magnoliopsida, Solanales, Solanaceae. The record is from RefSeq and is a predicted model, not a curated record.